This 389-nucleotide ribosomal RNA is filed under the name uncultured bacterium. RNAcentral's name for it is "bacterial SSU rRNA". It matches the Rfam family "Bacterial small subunit ribosomal RNA", at positions 28 to 417 of the family's 1533-position model. The record is from RNAcentral.
GACGAACGCUGGCGGCGUGCUUAACACAUGCAAGUCGAGCGGUAAGGCUCUUUCGGGGGUACACGAGCGGCGAACGGGUGAGUAACACGUGGGUGACCUGCCCUUAGCUCUGGGAUAAGCCUGGGAAACGUGGGUCUAAUACCGGAUAUGACUCCAUGACGCGAUGUUGUGGGGUGGAAAGCCUUGUGCGGCUAGGGAUGGGCCUGCGGCCUAUCAGCUUGUUGGUGGGGUGAUGGCCUACCAAGGCGACGACGGGUAGCCGGCCUGAGAGGGCGACCGGCCACACUGGGACUGAGACACGGCCCAGACUCCUACGGGAGGCAGCAGUGGGGAAUCUUGCGCAAUGGGCGAAAGCCUGACGCAGCGACGCCGCGUGGGGAUGACGGCCU